Papaver somniferum (opium poppy) is the source of this 1612-nucleotide long non-coding RNA. RefSeq lists it as uncharacterized. The record is from RefSeq and is a predicted model, not a curated record. Lineage: Eukaryota; Viridiplantae; Streptophyta; Magnoliopsida; Ranunculales; Papaveraceae. The transcript is spliced from 2 exons.
UAAACCAACUCUAAUUUCUUAAUAGAGAAAUCUCAUUUUGUUUUCCCUGUUCUUCUAUUUCUUUUCUUUCUUCUCACCAAAUUUCAUCUACUGAUUUACACGACAAUCUCAAGCAAGAGGAUCCUUUGGCUUUUAAGCAACCCGCUCCAUUUUCAGCUGACAGUCGUCUUGCAAAGAGUUUGGAGCUAGCUUGAUGCGGUAAGCUGAAAAGGGCUUACUGCGAGGAGCUACGGACACAAUGUGGUACAUAUUGUUGUCAUUGUAUACAUAUAUAUCAUGGAAUGAUUUGGGUAAUUUUCAUUUCAUGCUUUGCUGCGUGUAUAUAGGCUAUGGUCUCCUUUUUGGAUGUAUAUGGGACAAUAUUCUUUUUCAGACGUCCAUAUACAUUAUAAUCCUUAAAAAAUCUACUGCUAAGUUAUGGCUUCAUUUUCAUUUCUUCUUGGUUGUUUUUCUCGUUUUUGCUGUCUAUUUAAUGGGUGAAUCAUUGAAGUGUAUUAAAUAACUCUCAUGUAACGAGAUGUCUUUAAUUAAAGUCUGCAGUAGUAGAAAUUGAUGUUAAAGUAAUAUUUAUAAGAAUGAAUUUUUGAUUUGGGAAUUAGCCCGUUGUUUUUCUUAAAAUUUCAAGGCAAAAUCUAAGACCUUGUUCUCUUGUUAAGUCACUAUUAUACUGGUAUUGUAACUAGUCUCUAUAAACUCUCUGUUUAAGAAAAUAUGGAUUUAAUUUUUUUCUUCCUCUAUUUUACGCUUCACCCAUUAUCAAACUUUGUAUAAUAUGUAUCGUUUUUUUUUCAUUUUCGAGUGGCGCGACCGGGGUUUGGCCUUGCUGGACGGGUUGAAAUCCAACCCGUUAGAAGAAAAAAUUUAUCGGUCCGUUACAGUUUGGUAUCAGAGCAGUUCCGAUCUAUUCGGACUGUGAGUUUUGGACUUGCUGGUUUUCCGAUAUUGUGUAUUUGAUUUUAAGCUAUGAAUAAAUUUUUUAAAUUUGUAUUGUCCGUCGAGUUUCUUUCGGGUUUUAGUAAUCGAAACAAAAUAUUUUAUGAGACGAAUAGUUCAUCGAUUUUCUGUUGUUUUUGGGGUUGGGAAAAAUAGUACGGAGCCAUGAUAUAUAUGUAUAUAGCUUGUUGUGAGUCCCAGUCUCCUCCUAAGCUCAAUGACUGUUGUCAGUAAGGUGUAUUUUAGUAUAUAUUCUUAUCUUUUGAAGAUGUUUCAAAGUGUGAGUUUGGAAACCCCAAUAACAGCCGGAAUGGUAAGGUACUAUACUUACCAAAACCAAGCACGUCAAAGCAAAGUUUGUGCAAGGAAAGGAUGCACUACUUGUGGAGUUGGAAUCGUAUUUAUAGCUGGUGAGAUGGUUAUCGUCAACUCGUAUUGCCUAAGCUUGAUAUUUGUAUAAUCUUCUUAGCUUCAUCUGUUCUUGUGGGUGAAAUAUUAGAUAAACUGACCAUGAUAAGAUGUUUUAAUCUCCCUUGUUUCUAUCCGAAACUUAAGUUUACCCACUGUGACGUACUUGAACUUUUUUUAUAGUGUUUACUAUUUGCGCUCCAACUUCGACUAAACUAUGGUUGUAGUGACUGUGAAAUAAGAUGUCCUUUAUUUAUUUAUUUUUUCGGUA